This 252-nucleotide ribosomal RNA is filed under the name uncultured bacterium. RNAcentral's name for it is "partial 16S ribosomal RNA". It matches the Rfam family "Bacterial small subunit ribosomal RNA", at positions 524 to 776 of the family's 1533-position model. The record is from RNAcentral.
UACGUAGGGGGCGAGCGUUAUCCGGAUUCAUUGGGCGUAAAGCGCGCGCAGGCGGGUUGCUAAGCGGGACCUCUAAUCCUGGGGCUCAACCUCAGGCCGGGUCCCGAACUGGCAGCCUCGGGUUCGGUAGGGGAGAUCGGAAUUCCCGGUGUAGCGGUGGAAUGCGCAGAUAUCGGGAAGAACACCGAUGGCGAAGGCAGAUCUCUGGGCCGCAACCGACGCUGAGGCGCGAAAGCUAGGGGAGCGAACAGG